AUUGAACGCUGGCGGCAGGCCUAACACAUGCAAGUCGAGCGGUAGAGAGGUGCUUGCAUCUCUUGAGAGCGGCGGACGGGUGAGUAAUGCCUAGGAAUCUGCCUAGUGGUGGGGGAUAACGUUCGGAAACGGACGCUAAAUACCGCAUACGUCCUACGGGAGAAAGCGGGGGAUCUUCGGACCUCGCGCCAUUAGAUGAGCCUAGGUCGGAUUAGCUAGUUGGUGAGGUAAUGGCUCACCAAGGCGACGAUCCGUAACUGGUCUGAGAGGAUGAUCAGUCA
RNAcentral lists this ribosomal RNA (281 nucleotides) under uncultured bacterium. Its description in RNAcentral is "partial 16S ribosomal RNA". It matches the Rfam family "Bacterial small subunit ribosomal RNA", at positions 30 to 310 of the family's 1533-position model. The record is from RNAcentral.